CCCUUAGAUGUUCUGGGCCGCACGCGUGCUACACUGAGUGGAUCAGCGGGUCAGGUUGCGCGAAAGCGUUUCCUAAUCUUUAAAUCCGCUCGUGAUGGGGAUUGACGGUUGCAAUUUUCUGUCAUGAACGAGGAAUACCUUGUAAGCGCGGGUCAUCAUCCCGCGCUGAAUACGUCCCUGCCCUUUGUACACACCGCCCGUCGCUCCUACCGAUUGAGUGGUCCGGUGAAUUAUUCGGACUGCAACGCAACCAGUUCCUGGAUGCAGUUGCGGAAAGUUUUGUGAACCUUACCACUUAGAGGAAGGAGAAGUCGUAACA
This 319-nucleotide ribosomal RNA is filed under the name uncultured eukaryote. Its description in RNAcentral is "partial 18S ribosomal RNA". It matches the Rfam family "Eukaryotic small subunit ribosomal RNA", at positions 1470 to 1796 of the family's 1831-position model. The record is from RNAcentral.